This 460-nucleotide ribosomal RNA is filed under the name uncultured bacterium. RNAcentral's name for it is "partial 16S ribosomal RNA". It matches the Rfam family "Bacterial small subunit ribosomal RNA", at positions 338 to 795 of the family's 1533-position model. The record is from RNAcentral.
CCUACGGGUGGCAGCAGUGAGGAAUAUUGGUCAAUGGGCGCAAGCCUGAACCAGCCAAGUAGCGUGAAGGAUGACUGCCCUACGGGUUGUAAACUUCUUUUAUACAGGAAUAAAGUGAGGCACGUGUACCUUUUUGUAUGUACUUUAUGAAUAAGGAUCGGCUAACUCCGUGCCAGCAGCCGCGGUAAUACGGAGGAUCCGAGCGUUAUCCGGAUUUAUUGGGUUUAAAGGGAGCGUAGACGGGUUGUUAAGUUAGUGGUGAAAGGUUGCGGCUCAACCUUAAAAUUGCAUUUGAUACUGGUAGGCUUGAGUACAGUUGAGGUAGGCGGAAUGCGUGGUGUAGCGGUGAAAUGCGUAGAUAUCACGAAGAACUCCGAUUGCGAAGGCAGCUUACUAAGCUGCCACUGACAUUGAUGCUCGAAAGUGUGGGGAUCAAACAGGAUUAGAUACCCCUGUAGUC